This 73-nucleotide transfer RNA is filed under the name Hepsetus odoe (African pike characin). RNAcentral's name for it is "tRNA-Gly". It matches the Rfam family "tRNA". Rfam says of the family: Transfer RNA (tRNA) molecules are approximately 80 nucleotides in length. Their secondary structure includes four short double-helical elements and three loops (D, anti-codon, and T loops). Further hydrogen bonds mediate the characteristic L-shaped molecular structure. tRNAs have two regions of fundamental functional importance: the anti-codon, which is responsible for specific mRNA codon recognition, and the 3' end, to which the tRNAs corresponding amino acid is attached (by aminoacyl-tRNA synthetases). tRNAs cope with the degeneracy of the genetic code in two manners: having more than one tRNA (with a specific anti-codon) for a particular amino acid; and 'wobble' base-pairing, i.e. permitting non-standard base-pairing at the 3rd anti-codon position. The record is from RNAcentral. Lineage: Eukaryota; Metazoa; Chordata; Actinopteri; Characiformes; Hepsetidae.
ACCUUUCUAGUAUCUAAAGUUAGUACAAGUGACUUCCAAUCAUUUAGUCUUGGUUAAAAUCCAAGGAAAGGUA